UAGCAAUAAUGCCUAAUAACGGCGUCCGCGCCGUGGCGACGCCCGUCGCGCGAGAAGAGCCGCUCCUACGGCGGGAAGACGACGCAGCACCGCCGAAGGCCGCCGGUGGCGAUGGGCAGCCGCUCGACGCGGGCGCCCGUGACGCCGGCAGCUUCCCGUGGCUGCCAGCCGCGGGCGUCGUGUACCUCACGCUCAGCUCCGCGAUGGCCCUGCACCGCUGCUGGCCCGACCCCGGCGACGUCGCGUUCGUCGUGUCGGCGUCGCCGCCGUCAUGCCGGCCGCCGUUGCUGCCAUCGUCUGGCUCAUGGGUCUCACCACCAUCUGCGGUGGCUUCCUCGCUUUCUUCUGCUUCCAGAAGAAGGCGUGACUUUCGCUCUAUGGACAGAGAGAGAAAAAUGUCGGAGGUUGACGAUGGACAAGAUUACCGGGUUAUCAAAAUUUUAUUGGUGAUAAGCAAAAUUUUUUGCACGAAUUUAUAGAAAUGACUCAGUUUGUC
Molecule: unclassified non-coding RNA, 496 nt
Filed under: Zea mays
Lineage: Eukaryota; Viridiplantae; Streptophyta; Magnoliopsida; Poales; Poaceae
Description: misc RNA Zm00001eb240200
Source: RNAcentral